RNAcentral lists this ribosomal RNA (465 nucleotides) under uncultured bacterium. RNAcentral's name for it is "partial 16S ribosomal RNA". It matches the Rfam family "Bacterial small subunit ribosomal RNA", at positions 28 to 507 of the family's 1533-position model. The record is from RNAcentral.
GAUGAACGCUGGCGGCGUGCUUAACACAUGCAAGUCGAACGGAAAGGCCAGUGCUUGCACUGGUACUCGAGUGGCGAACGGGUGAGUAACACGUGGGUGAUCUGCCCUGCACUUCGGGAUAAGCCUGGGAAACUGGGUCUAAUACCGGAUAGGACAAUGGUUUGGAUGCCGUUGUGGAAAGUUUUUUCGGUGUGGGAUGGGUUCGCGGCCUAUCAGCUUGUUGGUGAGGUAAUGGCCUACCAAGGCGUCGACGGGUAGCCGGCCUGAGAGGGUGUACGGCAACAAGGGAACUGAGACACGGACCUUAGUCCUACGGGAGGCAGCAGGGGGGAAUAUUGGACAAGGGACCAAAAGUCUGAUCCAGCAAUUCUGGGUGCACGAUGACGUUUUUCGGAAUGUAAAGUGCUUUCAGUUGGGAAGAAAAAAAUGACGGUACCAACAGAAGAAGUGACGGCUAAAUACGUG